UGGGGAAUAUUGGACAAUGGGCGCAAGCCUGAUCCAGCCAUGCCGCGUGUGUGAAGAAGGCCCUAGGGUUGUAAAGCACUUUCAGCGAGGAGGAAAGGCGAUAAGUUAAUACCUUAUUGUUGUGACGUUACUCGCAGAAGAAGCACCGGCUAACUCCGUGCCAGCAGCCGCGGUAAUACGGAGGGUGCAAGCGUUAAUCGGAAUUACUGGGCGUAAAGCGCGCGUAGGCGGUUUGUUAAGUUGGAUGUGAAAGCCCAGGGCUCAACCUUGGAACUGCAUCCAAAACUGGCAGGCUAGAGUAUUGUAGAGGGGUGUGGAAUUUCAGGUGUAGCGGUGAAAUGCGUAGAGAUCUGAAGGAACAUCAGUGGCGAAGGCGACACCCUGGACAAAUACUGACGCUGAGGUGCGAAAGCGUGGGGAGCAAACGGG
This 429-nucleotide ribosomal RNA is filed under the name uncultured bacterium. RNAcentral describes it as "bacterial SSU rRNA". It matches the Rfam family "Bacterial small subunit ribosomal RNA", at positions 355 to 776 of the family's 1533-position model. The record is from RNAcentral.